This 389-nucleotide long non-coding RNA is filed under the name Betula platyphylla (Asian white birch). The record is from RNAcentral. Lineage: Eukaryota; Viridiplantae; Streptophyta; Magnoliopsida; Fagales; Betulaceae.
CAAGCAUGACAUCCUGAUGGAUCGUGACCGUCUGGUUGUGGGAACGGACGAUGAUAAUAUAAUUAAUAAUAAUAACUAAAAAUAUUGUAGGUGCCCAUAACAUAGUCAGUGAGAGCCGCGGAUAAGCUUUUAUUAUUAUUCUUUUGGCCAGUGGUAGACUUGGUGGCAGUCAAUUCCACACAUCAGAAGUGUAUAUUUAGGAAGGCAGCACCCUUCAUCGCCAUCUCUCUCAUGCCCAACGAUCAGCCAAAACGAUUAAUCCAAACAUUUUAUGGAGGUGCCAGUGAUCGCAGAGUAGACUUGGGUGGCAGUCAAUUCCACACAUCAGAAGUGUAUAUUUAGGAAGGCAGCACCCUUCAUCGCCAUCUCUCUCACUCUCAAAAAAGAAA